This 418-nucleotide long non-coding RNA is filed under the name Salmo salar (Atlantic salmon). RNAcentral's name for it is "lncRNA (ENSSSAG00000111610.1)". The record is from RNAcentral. Lineage: Eukaryota; Metazoa; Chordata; Actinopteri; Salmoniformes; Salmonidae.
GUUAUAUACAGUAGAGAGGCUAUAUACAGUAGAGAGGCUAUAUACAGUAGAGAGGCUAUAUACAGUAGAGAGGCUAUAUACAGUAGAGAGGCUAUAUACAGUAGAGAGGCUAUAUACAGUAGAGAGGCUAUAUACAGUAGAGAGGUUAUAUACAGUAGAGAGGUUAUAUACAGUAGAGAGGCUAUAUACAGUAGAGAGGUUAUAUACAGUAGAGAGGCUAUAUACAGUAGAGAGGCUAUAUACAGUAGAGAGGCUAUAUACAGUAGAGAGGAUAUAUACAGUAGAGAGGCUAUAUACAGUAGAGAGGCUAUAUACAAGAGAGGCUAUAUACAGUAGAGAGGCUAUAUACAGUAGAGAGGCUAUAAACAGUAGAGAGGCUAUAUACAGUAGAGAGGCUAUAUACAGUAGAGAGGCUAUA